GUAAAGGGAAAGGAAAAUGAAGAAUUCAUGACCUGACUAGAGUCUCAGUAGAAGGAAGAUAUUUUAGAACUGUGAGAAUUUUCAUUUAUAGUCCACUCAGCCACACAACAUGUUGUAGGAGAAAACUUACCCAUGAUACGUGAUGUUGGAGUUUUCACUAAUUUCUUCGGAGAACCGGACUAUAUACAUAUACACCGAUGGACCCAGAUUUCAGAGGGUGCAGCGCAUUGUAGUUGACCCAGCUAUAUACCUAGCCGGGAGGAGCCAAAUUUUUCAUGCUACAGAAAAGCGGAAAACUUAUGAUGCUUUUAAAGUUUUCUCAGGCA
Molecule: long non-coding RNA, 326 nt
Organism: Ziziphus jujuba (common jujube)
Lineage: Eukaryota; Viridiplantae; Streptophyta; Magnoliopsida; Rosales; Rhamnaceae
Exons: 3
Source: RefSeq, a predicted model, not a curated record